Long non-coding RNA from Xenia sp. Carnegie-2017, 187 nucleotides. RefSeq lists it as uncharacterized. The record is from RefSeq and is a predicted model, not a curated record. The transcript has 2 exons. NCBI's taxonomy places the organism in Eukaryota, Metazoa, Cnidaria, Anthozoa, Malacalcyonacea, Xeniidae.
CAGCCAUAGAUUUUGAUGACAUGGCUGCUGGAUUGAACAAGAGAAGAAUGAUACAGCAUGCUGUCUUUCAAGAGUUGUGUAAGCUAGUUGAUCCUGGUGUGAAAACAUGGCAGCCGCACAAAGGCAAACCUAAUAUUAUCAUGUUUGUUGGCCUUCAAGGUAGUGGAAAGACUACAACUUGUACAAA